ACAGAGAGAAGCGAUCCCGCGAGGAGGAGCAAAUCUGAAAAAAGCGUCCCUAGUUCGGAUUGUAGGCUGAAACUCGCCUACAUGAAGCUGGAAUUGCUAGUAAUCACAGGUCAGCAUACUGUGGUGAAUACGUUCCCGGGCCUUGUACACACCGCCCGUCACACCAUGAGAGUCGGGAACACCCGAAGUCCGUAGUCUAACCGCAAGGGGGGCGCGGCCGAAGGUGGGUCCGGUAAUUGGGGUGAAGUCGUAACAAGGUAGC
Molecule: ribosomal RNA, 262 nt
Filed under: uncultured bacterium
Lineage: Bacteria
Description: partial 16S ribosomal RNA
Rfam family: Bacterial small subunit ribosomal RNA
Source: RNAcentral